Molecule: long non-coding RNA, 310 nt
Organism: Eurytemora carolleeae
Lineage: Eukaryota; Metazoa; Arthropoda; Copepoda; Calanoida; Temoridae
Exons: 2
Source: RefSeq, a predicted model, not a curated record
AGAAAAAUAAACAUGAAAAUGCACAGAAUUUGGAUUGUUCUGAUGUUCGUCUAUCUUUCCAUGGUAUCCUGUGAGCUGAGUGGGUUCGGACGAGGAGUAAUGGCUGUAGGACUUGGUUUCCUUGCUGGGGGUGGAGUAGGAGUAGGACUCGGAGCUCUAGUAUUCAGUUCUCCAGGAGGAGGGUUGGGUACAGGAGGAGGAGGAGGACUAUGGUUUGGACGAAGAUAAUGAGCUUGCAUUGCAUGCAAAUAUUUAAUAAAAAUGUAAGAUAAAUAAAGCUAAGACAAUAAAAAAAUUUGUUUUCUUUUAA